UCCGCCAGGUAACUACAAGCACAGCUUAAAACCCAAAGGACUUGGCGGUGCCUCAGACCCACCUAGAGGAGCCUGUUCUAGAACCGAUAAUCCCCGUUAAACCUCACCACCCCUUGUUUUUCCCGCCUAUAUACCGCCGUCGCCAGCUUACCCUGUGAAGGUUUAACAGUAAGCAAAAUGGGUUUAACCCAAAACGUCAGGUCGAGGUGUAGCGCAUGGAGUGGGAAGAAAUGGGCUACAUUUUCUGCCACAGAAUAUUACGAAUGGUGUCCUGAAAUCUGACACCUGAAGGAGGAUUUAGUAGUAAAAAGCAAA
Molecule: ribosomal RNA, 315 nt
Filed under: Pterygoplichthys joselimaianus
Lineage: Eukaryota; Metazoa; Chordata; Actinopteri; Siluriformes; Loricariidae
Description: partial 12S ribosomal RNA
Rfam family: Bacterial small subunit ribosomal RNA
Source: RNAcentral